ACCUUCGUGGUGUAGUGGUCAGCACGCUCGACGUGCAACCUAGAGGUCUGUGGUUCUAUUCCCGGCGAAGGCG
Non-coding RNA from Stegodyphus mimosarum, 73 nucleotides. The record is from Rfam. Lineage: Eukaryota; Metazoa; Arthropoda; Arachnida; Araneae; Eresidae.